This 281-nucleotide ribosomal RNA is filed under the name uncultured bacterium. Its description in RNAcentral is "partial 16S ribosomal RNA". It matches the Rfam family "Bacterial small subunit ribosomal RNA", at positions 28 to 299 of the family's 1533-position model. The record is from RNAcentral.
GAUGAACGCUAGCGGCAGGCCUAAUACAUGCAAGCCGAACGGCAAGUAUUUUCAGCAAUAGGAAAUCCUAGAGUGGCGUAAGGGUGCGUAACACGUAUGCAAUCUGCCCUCAACAGGAGGAUAGCCUACCCCGGAAAGGGGAAUUAAGACUCCAUAAGAUCUUAGAGUGGCAUCACUUAGAGAAUUAAACUACCGAGGGGUUGAGGAUGAGCAUGCGCAUGAUUAGUUAGUUGGCGGGGUAACGCCCACCAAGACGAUGAUCAGUUAGGGGAACUGAGAGG